Molecule: non-coding RNA, 2458 nt
Organism: Megalopta genalis
Lineage: Eukaryota; Metazoa; Arthropoda; Insecta; Hymenoptera; Halictidae
Source: RefSeq, a predicted model, not a curated record
CGCAAAAGAAACAAAAAGAAUCGAAAUAUUUAACUUUCUAAGUAACGCACUACAAUCUUCGUUCAACAAGACUGUUGUUUAACAUGGCUGUAUAUUUACAGCUAUAUGUAUGUAUGCAUUAUGCAUAUACAAAUAGCGUUUGUUGUAUCCUCCAAAAUAAAUCAGCAUUUGUUUGAUAUUUUCAUUAAUUUCUCAAAGAAAUAUUUUGGAUAAAAAUUGUUCAACUUUUAGUCCUCCGAAUCUGAAAAAUUUCCAACAAAUUGUUUUCUAAACAGAAAAUCAAAGUCGCUUUGAUUUUUUAAAAAUGAUAUCGUUUAUUCUGGAUUUUACAGAGUUAUAGCUACCGUCAAAGUGAAUCCAACGACUUACUAUAUUAUGACCUUCCGAUAACCUUGAAUCAAAAUUUCGGUUUUUUAAGGUUAUCCGAAAGUCAUGGUGUAGUUACUAUGUACUCUGUAGUAGGUUGUUGAAGAUUACAGUCUUUUUAAGCUAAAUUUAUUUUUACAACCUGCUCCUGGUACAACUCAUAAUACACAGAGUGAAAUUUUGAAAAAAAUGUUAAAGAUGAAGCACUGAUCAUUUUGCAUGAAGGCAAUUUCUUUUGGAGAAUACUGUAUGUUUUGACACGCACUAACACUACGCUAGUACAGUGUUACUCACACAGGAGCAGUUAAUUCUUUUACUUACUCAUGUACUUUACAUACAAAAAGCUGAUUAAUUCGGAAACUAUCGUGACUUUUCAUAUUCUUAGCCUAUAUAUUGUAUAAACUUAAACGUUUUCAACAAUCUCAAUAUACAUGUGAUAGCGGAUAAAGCUUUAUCGAACUAUGUCGUAAUCAUUACGAUAAAUAUACACGCGCCGCAAAUAUUUAAUUUUGAUACCGAUGUUAUAAUUCAUCAAUUUGAAGAGAUCUGAUAAAAAUUCCAACGGAAAUCACAUUGAGGACACGCAGUGAAGUCAUGCUCGACUAUAUGUCGUCCCUAAAAAAAUUCCGCAAUUAAACAUACAACAUACAACUUCGUGCAAGAAGUUUAGCAGACUAGUUGACGAAGAAACUAACUGUAGCUAUACAAAAAGCUUUUGCGGCAUAAAUUAUAUCAUAUUAUUCUACUAACGUGAUGGAAACUUUGAAAUAUUAUUGGCUACUCUUAUCAACAUGCGAGCACCACGCAAAUGAUCGCUUUUCUUUACGUGCAGCCGAACCAGAAUAUAUGAAUGUAAAAGUCUCAAAUUAUUCUGCAUUUCUAAUGGUAUAGUAAUCUUGUUUCUCUUCAAUUCUUGAUACAUACUAAACAAUACAUCGUGUGCAUUCCUGUAAUUUCCUGUUUAAAAAAUUAUUUAAAAAGAUUUUAUAGAACUAUAUAUUACAUGUAUACGAUGUACAUUAUGUACAUUAGAAACAAACCAUUAAUUUGUUCUUCGUUCGCUAUUAUAAUUGCUGUUUUUGCAGCAUCCCUAUAUUGUUUUAUAGCCAUGUACAAUCGGAACAAGUAUUUAGGAUCCUGUCAAAUUACACAAAUGUAAUUAUUACAUUUUUACAUAGCAGAGAUUCAAAAUUAUGCAAUUACCUUUGGCAAUCCAUCUCCGCCUAAUAAAAAGUCUAUCAUUUGAUUUGAUAGUUUAUCAUCUUUCGAAGAAGCAACUGUGUCGAUAGCUAAUGACAAAACUUCGUUUUCGUCUGCCAUUAAUUGAGCAGCUUUCAACAAAUGUCGUAACGCCUUUUGAUAUUCCUUCGCAUGAAAAUAAUAUUUUCCUGCCAACAAAUUGUUUUUCUGAGAUUCAAAGUGCAUGGCUAAGCUUUUAAAAUCUUCCUUUCGCGCAUUGUCAUCGUCGACCGUGUUUAUCAGAAUUUCUCCAUACAAUUCCAUUUUUCCAUGUUGAUUGGCUAAUUGGAAAGCCUCGUCGUGGCAAUUCGAUAAAAUCAAAAACUUGAUCGCUGAAUUAUAGUCGUUCAUUUUCUGAAAAUAUUUCGCUACCAUUUUUGCGCCUUCCACGCUUUUCGUUUGUUGCACUACCUCCACGCUUCGUGCUGUAAAUGUUUCAAUAAUAAUUUCUUACACUGAACAUUGGCAAACAGAUUAAAAAUUGAGUUACCAGGAUUGUUCAAAUGUUCCAGAUUAAUCUUAAUUAUGUUUUCAAAAUCUUUCGCGGUCUCGUAUGCCUUGGCUGCUUCCUCGUAUUUGCCUUCAGCUUCCUUAGCUUUAGCAUACUGUAUGUUAAUUUUGGCAGAUGAUAUCUGUGGCAACAGUUGCCCCACCUUCUGCCAAUUCUUUAGUUUUAUAUAUGCGGAUGCUGCUUUGUCGAAGUACUCAGCUUUCUCAUACAGCAGUGCUGCUUCACUGAAUUGCUAUAAAAAUAGAGUACUGCCGCCUCAUCGCGAGCAAUCUCUACACUCUACUUUCCGAGCGUUUUUAUCCCCACCAUUUUAAUGCGCAUCCAGUUCCGCGCAGUUAGUUU